AAACGUUGUCCUUGUGGCUGUGUUUAGACUAGAGCAUCUACUUCUGAUUUUCAAUAUUUUCAGUGUUACACGUGAAGAAUUCGUUGUUUUGUUAUUAUUUACUUAUUAAUUAGGUCUAUUAGUUACUUUUUACUUUAUAUUCUUUAAGAUUUGCGUUACAUCUUCGACUUUUUAACUUCAGUGGCGAUUCGACUAACUUGAGUUGGUCAGUUAUCUUCGCACGGUUGGCGGGGCCAGUGUUGAGGACUCAACAAGACGGAUCCUUGUAAGACUAUUCAAAAAUGAGCUUGCGAGAGAAUUUAGUUGGGAAGGAAGAGGACGAAAGAAGUGGAGUCUGCAGAACUCUGCAUUGGUGCAGUUGAUUUGCCGUGUAGUUCGUCAACAACACCCGUCCUCAUUCGAUCUCACAACGUUUGAGAAAAAAACCAGCGAAUGGUUACGCCAAGCAGGAACAAGGAUUUAUGUCUAAAAUAAAAAUUUAGGCCUACCGCAGAUGAUCAAUUAAAUAGUUUUUUCUUGACAUUUCUUCAUUGUUUCAUUUAUAUGUUCCUUUAAAAAGUGUGUUAAUAAACAACAGAAACAAUUUUAUAAAAACAACUUUUAUACUUGAAUGUAUUAGGGUACUUGUGAUUACAUCUGAACAAAUAUUUUUACUCAUUUUUUGUAUUUUUGUGCAUUUAUUUUUUGUUUUUUUAUUGUGCAAGUAUUUUUUGUGCACAAUUUAGAAUAGGU
Long non-coding RNA from Macrosteles quadrilineatus (aster leafhopper), 732 nucleotides. RefSeq lists it as uncharacterized. The record is from RefSeq and is a predicted model, not a curated record. The transcript is spliced from 3 exons. Lineage: Eukaryota; Metazoa; Arthropoda; Insecta; Hemiptera; Cicadellidae.